GAUGAACGCUGGCGGCGUGCCUAAUACAUGCAAGUCGAGCGAACGGACGAGAAGCUUGCUUCUCUGAUGUUAGCGGCGGACGGGUGAGUAACACGUGGAUAACCUACCUAUAAGACUGGGAUAACUUCGGGAAACCGGAGCUAAUACCGGAUGAUAUUUUGAACCGCAUGGUUCAAAAGUGAAAGACGGUCUUGCUGUCACUUAUAGAUGGAUCCGCGCUGCAUUAGCUAGUUGGUAAGGUAACGGCUUACCAAGGCAACGAUGCAUAGCCGACCUGAGAGGGUGAUCGGCCACACUGGAACUGAGACACGGUCCAGACUCCUACGGGAGGCAGCAGUAGGGAAUCUUCCGCAAUGGGCGAAAGCCUGACGGAGCAGCGCCGCGUGAGUGAUGAAGGUCUUCGGAUCGUAAAACUCUGUUAUUAGGGAAGAACAUAUGUGUAAGUAACUGUGCACAUCUUGACGGUACCUAAUCAGAAAGCCACGGAUAACUACGUG
RNAcentral lists this ribosomal RNA (497 nucleotides) under uncultured bacterium. RNAcentral's name for it is "partial 16S ribosomal RNA". It matches the Rfam family "Bacterial small subunit ribosomal RNA", at positions 28 to 507 of the family's 1533-position model. The record is from RNAcentral.